Trichodelitschia bisporula is the source of this 90-nucleotide non-coding RNA. NCBI's taxonomy places the organism in Eukaryota, Fungi, Ascomycota, Dothideomycetes, Phaeotrichales, Phaeotrichaceae. The record is from the annotation of a GenBank genome assembly.
GGCUUCGUGGCGCAAUGGCAGCGCGCUGGUUUUCGGUUCUUGCACUGAGAUUACCACCAGAGGUUUAGGGUUCGAAUCCCUACGGAGUCG